CUGUGCAAAGGUAGCAUAAUCAUUAGCUUUUUAAUUGAAGGCUUGUAUGAAGGGUCUGACAAAGAAAAAGCUGUCUUUAGUUUUAUUUUUUGAAUUUAACUUUUAAGUGAAAAGGCUUAAAUAUGUUUAAGGGACGAUAAGACCCUAUAAAUCUUUAUAUUAAGUUUAUUUUCUUGAAUUUAAAUGAUUUGUCUAGAUUUUGUCAAGUAAAAAUAAUAAAUAUUUUGUUGGGGUGAUGAGAAUAUAAAAAUAACUGUUCUAGAAAAAAAACAGAGUUGUUUGUUUAUUUAUAAUAGAUCCUUUUUAAAGAUUAAGAGUUUAAGUUACUUUAGGGAUAACAGCGUUAUUUUUUUUGAGAGUUCUUAUCGAAAAAAAAGUUUGCGACCUCGAUGUUGAAUUAAAAUAUCUUUAUGGUGUAGUAGUUAUAGAAGAGAGUCUGUUCGACUUUUAAAUUUUU
RNAcentral lists this ribosomal RNA (457 nucleotides) under Paramunida pronoe. RNAcentral's name for it is "partial 16S ribosomal RNA". It matches the Rfam family "Bacterial large subunit ribosomal RNA", at positions 1946 to 2597 of the family's 2925-position model. The record is from RNAcentral. Lineage: Eukaryota; Metazoa; Arthropoda; Malacostraca; Decapoda; Munididae.